Molecule: non-coding RNA, 74 nt
Organism: Sus scrofa (pig)
Lineage: Eukaryota; Metazoa; Chordata; Mammalia; Artiodactyla; Suidae
Source: Rfam
UCCCUGGUGGCCUAGCAGGUUAAGGAUCUGGCAUUGUCACUGCUGUGGUGUGGGUUUGAUCCCACGCCUGGGAA